This 726-nucleotide ribosomal RNA is filed under the name uncultured fungus. RNAcentral describes it as "SSU rRNA". It matches the Rfam family "Eukaryotic small subunit ribosomal RNA", at positions 334 to 1062 of the family's 1831-position model. Lineage: Eukaryota; Fungi. The record is from RNAcentral.
UAGAGGCCUACCAUGGUUUUAACGGGUAACGGGGAAUUAGGGUUCGAUUCCGGAGAGGGAGCCUGAGAAACGGCUACCACAUCCAAGGAAGGCAGCAGGCGCGCAAAUUACCCAAUCCCGACACGGGGAGGUAGUGACAAUAAAUAACAAUACGGGGCUCAUUUGGGUCUCGUAAUUGGAAUGAGUACAAUUUAAAUCUCUUAACGAGGAACAAUUGGAGGGCAAGUCUGGUGCCAGCAGCCGCGGUAAUUCCAGCUCCAAUAGCGUAUAUUAAAGUUGUUGCAGUUAAAAAGCUCGUAGUUGAACUUCGGGGUUUACCCAUUGGUCAGGCUUAAUUGUCUGUACUGGUGAGAUAAAUCUCUACCUUCUGAGGAACUUUCAUGUCAUUAAUUUGGUGUGAUUGGAAAUCAGGACUGUUACUUUGAAAAAAUUAGAGUGUUUAAAGCAGGCUAACGUCUGAAUACAUUAGCAUGGAAUAAUGAAAUAGGACGGAUUGAUUCUAUUUCGUUGGUUUCUAGGAUCACCGUAAUGAUUAAUAGGGAUAGUUGGGGGCAUUAGUAUUCAAUUGUCAGAGGUGAAAUUCUUGGAUUUAUUGAAGACUAACUACUGCGAAAGCAUUUGCCAAGGAUGUUUUCAUUAAUCAAGAACGAAAGUUAGGGGAUCGAAGACGAUCAGAUACCGUCGUAGUCUUAACCAUAAACUAUGCCGACUAGGGAUCGGACGAAG